This 850-nucleotide ribosomal RNA is filed under the name uncultured bacterium. Its description in RNAcentral is "bacterial SSU rRNA". It matches the Rfam family "Bacterial small subunit ribosomal RNA", at positions 56 to 907 of the family's 1533-position model. The record is from RNAcentral.
UGCAGUCGGACGGGAUUGAGGAGCUUGCUUCUCAUGAGAGUGGCGCACGGGUGCGUAACACGUAUGUAACCUACCUUGUUCAGGGGGAUAGCCUCUCGAAAGAGAGAUUAACACCGCAUAAAAUCAAUUUAUGGCAUCAUAGAAUGAUCAAAUAUUUAUAGGAACAAGAUGGGCAUGCGGAACAUUAGCUAGUUGGUAAGGUAACGGCUUACCAAGGCUACGAUGUUUAGGGGAUCUGAGAGGAUGACCCCCCACACUGGUACUGAGACACGGACCAGACUCCUACGGGAGGCAGCAGUAAGGAAUAUUGGUCAAUGGACGCAAGUCUGAACCAGCCAUGCCGCGUGCAGGAAGACGGCCCUACGGGUUGUAAACUGCUUUUGUACCGGAAUAAACCUUUUCACGUGUGAGAAGCUGAAUGUACGGUAAGAAUAAGGAUCGGCUAACUCCGUGCCAGCAGCCGCGGUAAUACGGAGGAUCCAAGCGUUAUCCGGAUUUAUUGGGUUUAAAGGGUGCGUAGGUGGCCUAUUAAGUCAGGGGUGAAAGACGGUAGCUUAACUAUCGCAGUGCCUUUGAUACUGAUGGGCUUGAAUACACUUGAGGUAGGCGGAAUGUGACAAGUAGCGGUGAAAUGCAUAGAUAUGUCACAGAACACCAAUUGCGAAGGCAGCUUACUAAAGUGUUAUUGACACUGAGGCACGAAAGCGUGGGGAUCAAACAGGAUUAGAUACCCUGGUAGUCCACGCCCUAAACGAUGAAUACUCGAUGUUGGCGAUAUACGGUCAGCGUCUAAGCGAAAGCGUUAAGUAUUCCACCUGGGGAGUACGCCCGCAAGGGUGAAACUCAAAGG